RNAcentral lists this ribosomal RNA (253 nucleotides) under uncultured bacterium. Its description in RNAcentral is "partial 16S ribosomal RNA". It matches the Rfam family "Bacterial small subunit ribosomal RNA", at positions 524 to 776 of the family's 1533-position model. The record is from RNAcentral.
UACGUAGGGUGCGAGCGUUGCCCGGAUUUAUUGGGCGUAAAGGGCGCGUAGGCGGCUCUGCACGUCCGUUGUGAAAUCGCCCGGCUCAACUGGGCGGGGUCAGCGGAUACGGCGGAGCUUGAGCAAGCUAGGGGGCAAUGGAAUUCCCGGUGUAGUGGUGGAAUGCGUAGAUAUCGGGAGGAACACCAGUGGCGAAGGCGGUUCUCUGGGCCUUACCUGACGCUGAGGAGCGAAAGCGUGGGGAGCGAACAGG